GAUCCUGGCUCAGGAUGAACGCUAGCGGGAGGCCUAACACAUGCAAGCCGAGCGGUAUAGAAUCUUCGGAUUUUAGAGAGCGGCGUACGGGUGCGGAACACGUGUGCAACCUACCUUUAUCUGGAGGAUAGCCUUUCGAAAGGAAGAUUAAUACUCCAUAAUAUAUUGAUUGGCAUCAAUUAAUAUUGAAAGCUCCGGCGGAUAGAGAUGGGCACGCGCAAGAUUAGUUAGUUGGUGAGGUAACGGCUCACCAAGACGAUGAUCUUUAGGGGGCCUGAGAGGGUGAUCCCCACACUGGUACUGAGACACGGACCAGACUCCUACGGGAGGCAGCAGUGAGGAAUAUUGGACAAUGGGUGCAAGCCUGAUCCAGCCAUCCCGCGUGAAGGACGACUGCCUAUGGGUUGUAAACUUCUUUUGUAUAGGGAUAAACCUCUCCUCGUGAGGAGAGCUGAAGGUACUAUACGAAUAAGCACCGGCUAACUCCGUG
RNAcentral lists this ribosomal RNA (490 nucleotides) under uncultured bacterium. Its description in RNAcentral is "bacterial SSU rRNA". It matches the Rfam family "Bacterial small subunit ribosomal RNA", at positions 15 to 507 of the family's 1533-position model. The record is from RNAcentral.